GACGAACGUUGGCGGCGUGCUUAAUACAUGCAAGUCAACUGAAGCAGUGGUAGCAAUAUCGCUGUGGAGGUGGCGCACGGGUGAGUAACACGUAGGUAAUCUGCCUUCAGGUCUGGCAUAACUCCGGGAAACCGGGGCUAAUAGCAGAUGAUGCAGCGGCUCGACAUCGAGACAGUUGUUAAAGCUAUGGCGCCUGAAGAUGAGCCUGCGUCUGAUUAGCUAGUUGGCGGGGUGACGGCCCACCAAGGCAACGAUCAGUAGCUGGUCUGAGAGGAUGAUCAGCCACACUGGAACUGAGACACGGUCCAGACUCCUACGGGAGGCAGCAGUAAGGAAUAAUGCUCAAUGGGAGAAAUCCUGAAGCAGCAACGCCGCGUGAGGGGCGAAGGGCUUUUGCUUGUAAACCUCUGUAGUGAGAGAAAAAAAUCCCAAUCUUUGGGACAUGAUGGUAUCUCAAAAGUAAGCCCCGGCUAACUACGUG
Molecule: ribosomal RNA, 481 nt
Filed under: uncultured bacterium
Lineage: Bacteria
Description: partial 16S ribosomal RNA
Rfam family: Bacterial small subunit ribosomal RNA
Source: RNAcentral